GAUGAAGAACGUAGCGAAACGCGAUAGUUAAUGUGAAUUGCAGAAUUCAGUGAAUCAUCGAGUCUUUGAACGCACAUUGCGCCUUUUGGUAUUCCGAGAGGCACGCCUGUCUGAGCGUCAGUAAAACCCUUCGGUUUGACGAUUUAUUGUCUCGCCGGCGUUGGCGGUUUUUGGGUCCUUGUGGCUCGAUUCCGUUUAAACACUGACACGCGGAGAUUAAGGUGUUAAAGGAUUAACCCCUCAUCGAUUAGUAGAAAUAUUUAUCUUUGAAGAUUAUGACUUUAAAACCCCACCCGCUAUACAAAACAGGGAGCUCUUUUUUGAGCACCCGACCUUGAAUUUUGACCUCAGAUCAGACGAGGAUACCCGCUGAACUUAAGCAUAUCAAUAAGCGGAGGA
Molecule: unclassified non-coding RNA, 399 nt
Filed under: soil metagenome
Description: partial contains 5.8S ribosomal RNA, internal transcribed spacer 2, and large subunit ribosomal RNA
Rfam family: 5.8S ribosomal RNA (bases 1-120)
Source: RNAcentral